GAUGUAGCUAACUGAUCUUCUACAUUUAUAAUCAAGAACUGUUCGUGUUUCAGGCGCUUGUUUCCACUGUAAGGAUUUAAAAUGGCUGACACAAAAAUCAUACUAAAUUCUAUAACUUGUAAAAUAGAGUGAAUGCAAUCACACUUACAAGUUUCAUUGCUCUAGGAGAAAAGGGAAAAUUUUUCUAAGGUAUUAAAGGUCCCAGCAAGUAGCCUAGCUAUGUGUUUGUGUGUGUUUAGCAUUGUUGUAUCCAUGAGUAUAGCUUGUAAUUCUUGAUAUAUAUGUAAAUUGUAGCUAUUGCAGUGGUUUUCAACUUUCUUUAUAUCUGUAUUUGGAAGAUAUCUUGAGAUUUCAUGAGAGCCGCAAUUUUCGUUCAUAUUUGUACUCACAUGAACUGUGUUAAGUAUCUGGUUGCCUAUUUUGGCAUUAUAGACGAAGGUUAUUGUGAGGAUAUAGACUUUGAUCCCAAUUAUUUUCUUCCUGGAUAAAGAUAUCAUGAUUUAUUACAAUUUUUAUAAUAAAUUUUAAUUAAUUUAA
Molecule: long non-coding RNA, 537 nt
Filed under: Amphimedon queenslandica
Lineage: Eukaryota; Metazoa; Porifera; Demospongiae; Haplosclerida; Niphatidae
Description: uncharacterized LOC109592417
Source: RNAcentral